GAUCAUGGCUCAGGACGAACGCUGGCGGCGUGCUUAACACAUGCAAGUCGAACGAGAAUCUGCGGAAAGAGGAUUCGUCCAAUUGAAGCAGAGGACAGUGGCGGACGGGUGAGUAACGCGUGAGGAACCUGCCUUUCAGAGGGGGACAACAGUUGGAAACGACUGCUAAUACCGCAUGACACAUUUGGGUCGCAUGGCCCUGAUGUCAAAGAUUUAUCGCUGAAAGAUGG
RNAcentral lists this ribosomal RNA (230 nucleotides) under uncultured bacterium. RNAcentral's name for it is "partial 16S ribosomal RNA". It matches the Rfam family "Bacterial small subunit ribosomal RNA", at positions 15 to 228 of the family's 1533-position model. The record is from RNAcentral.